UGCGUAGGCGGUUUAGUAAGUCAGUGGUGAAAGCCCAUCGCUCAACGGUGGAACGGCCAUUGAUACUGCUAAACUUGAAUUAUUAGGAAGUAACUAGAAUAUGUAGUGUAGCGGUGAAAUGCUUAGAGAUUACAUGGAAUACCAAUUGCGAAGGCAGGUUACUACUAAUGGAUUGACGCUGAUGGACGAAAGCGUGGGUAGCGAACAGGAUUAGAUACCCUGGUAGUCC
Molecule: ribosomal RNA, 229 nt
Filed under: uncultured bacterium
Lineage: Bacteria
Description: partial 16S ribosomal RNA
Rfam family: Bacterial small subunit ribosomal RNA
Source: RNAcentral